This 35228-nucleotide long non-coding RNA is filed under the name Ananas comosus (pineapple). RNAcentral's name for it is "long non-coding RNA (ACOM_LNC041999)". The record is from RNAcentral. Lineage: Eukaryota; Viridiplantae; Streptophyta; Magnoliopsida; Poales; Bromeliaceae.
UCCAAGAUACCCAAUCCAGAUACUUUCGCUUACAAGUCAAAUAGACCUCGUCUCUCCCGAGCCUAUUUCCUAUAGUCCAAUCCGGCCUAAGGUUUGCUAGGUCCCCUAAUACUCAACCCUAGCUCUGAUACCAAAUUAAUCUGUCCAUAUAUCUAUCUGUUUAUUGAACUAACCUGCAGGUUGCCUCUCUUUGACCUAUUGGUCGAGCUUUUCCCUUGGGUGGCCGUACCCACUGGGAACCAUGGAGUUGGUUCUCACCCCACGUUGUUUUGGGGUGUUACAGGUUCGCACGUGAGCGGCGCGGCGGCGCGAGGCAAGGGCGUAGCUUCGUAGAUAGCGCCCUACCCAGAGACCAGAGUUAGCAGUACCCCGUCGACAUAGCUUAGGGGUAUGGGGUGUUAUUAAUGAAAAGAACACAAUGUAUCAACGUGUAAAUAAAUUUGUAAGAACUUAGAUUGCAUUUGGAUGAAAAAGAAUGUAAAAAGAACUGUGAUGUAAAAAGUAUGAAUGUAAAUGUUUGUAAUAAUAUAGGAUGUGUUUAUGUUGUUUGAUACCUUCCAUUAUGCAAUCUUGAUUGAUAUCAGUUCCUGAUUGGAACCUUCGUAUUGUAUGGAUUGCGUUGCCUUGAAUGUACAGGGGAGACUCUGUCCGCAGUACAGGGGAAACCCUGUCCAUUCGGCGAUGUCGGCGGCGCUGCGACCUCGGCCAAAUAGGCGGGUGGUCGCGAGUCGUGACAGGAACACUGUCAACGACCCACCAGAAAGUCUGGAAAAGCUCGACACACAAAUCAAACACUCGAACCUCGCAAUUUGCAAAGGUCCAGUGUGUUACAUUCACCCCUCCUAAAAAGGAGUUUCGUCCGCGAAACUCAAGGCAGAAACACACCUCAAGGCUCCAUCUGAAAAAGAUGAGGAUAGCGCUCCUGCAAAGCGCUCUCUAGUUCCCACGUUGCCUCCCGCUCCCCGUGGUUGCUCCAAAGAACCUUCACAUACGGAAUAUCCCGAUUCCGCAGUUUCUUCAUUUCGCGAGCCAAAAUCUUCACUGGUUGCUCCUCGAAGCUCAAAUCCUCGCGCAGCUCCACUGGUAUAGCUUCCAAGACAUGAGCUGGAUCAAGAAUGCACCUCCGAAGGACCGAUACAUGAAAGACGUUGUGCACGCCAGAUAGGUUCGGUGCUAGAGCAAGUCGAUACGCUACCGGACCCAUACGCUCCAAGAUCUCAUACGGUCCAAUGAAACGGGGGCUCAACUUUCCCCGAAUCCCGAAUCUCUUGAUUCCUCUAGUCGGCGAGACUUUCAAGAAAACAUGGUCUCCCACUUGGAACUCCAAGUCCCGCCGCCGUCGAUCAGCGUAGCUCCUCUGUCUACUCUGCGCCGUCAAAAGUCGCUCCCGAGCAAUUCGAACCUUAUCCUCAGCUUCCUGGAGCACAUCAGGGCCUAAAGCCAAUCUCUCGCCGACUUUACUCCAAUGAAGUGGCAAUCUACACUUCCGUCCAUAGAGUGCUUCAAACGGCGCCAUCUUGAUGCUUGCUUGAUAACUGUUGUUAUAAGCAAACUCCGCCAUAGGUAGAUGCUGCGACCAUCCUCCCUGGAAAUCCAUCACACAUGCCCGGAGCAUAACCUCUAAAGUCUGUAUAGUGCACUCCGACUGUCCAUCACUCUGCGGGUGGAAUGCGGUGGUGAAAUCCAAUCAAGUGCCCAAAACGUCCUGCAGACUCCUCCAAAAGAGAGACACGAACCGAGUGUCUCGAUCUGAUACUAUCGGUGUAGGCACUCCAUGAAGUCGCACAAUCUCGUCGAGGUACACUUGUGCGAGCUUCUCCCCAGUCCAAGUCAUAUGAAUACGUAUGAAGUGCGCCGACUUCGUCAAUCUAUCCGCGAUCACCCAAAUAGCAUCAUGCCCAGCCUGUGAGCGAGGCAAUCCUGUCACAAAGUCCAUGGUGAUCUUCUCCCACUUCCACACAGGGACAGGUAAACUCCGAAGCUUCCCUGCGGGAACUCGGUGCUCCACUUUUACUUGUUGGCAAGUUAGACAACGAGCCACAAACUCACCAACGUCCUUUUUCAUCUCGGGCCACCAAUGAAGCAACUUUAGAUCCUUGUACAUCUUGGUGCCACCCGAAUGUAUAGCAUAGAGCGCCCGGUGCGCUUCUUGAAGAAUAUCUUCUUUAAUCCCCGAAUCCGCGGGUAUACAAAUCCGCCCACGGAAACGUAUCCAUCUCAGAUCAUCCCAAAAGGGAGUCGCUGGUGCAACCAUCAACCAUUUUACCUUGAAUCUUUUGCAAUUCCAAAACGAAAACUUGCUUCUCUUUGAUCCUAUCCAAAAGACUAGGUUGCACUACCAAAUUCAUCAACCUCAAAUUCACCACUCGGGAGUACUCUCAAUCCCACUGCAAAAUAUGGUCGGGGCUAAGCUCAAAAGCUUCAUCAGUCUACUAAGAUCGUCAUCUUAGUGCUAACUCAAGUCCAAGUAAACUCUCACAAGCCUAGGCCAAAAGGCCUAGCUUCGACAGAAGGCUCACAACGCAAUCACUUUGAAAUUUCCGAUCCCAAUGCCUUUCCUAGCAUUGGAUGCUCCAGGUGUCCAUGGUCCCCAACUCAAUUCUCGCGAUAGAGGUGGAUCAAUCCACCGUUCAACGACAGCUCUCUAUCAAAGUCAUCCUGAUGCGAUCGUCAAACCAAAGUCAAUUCCAUCAGUCCUCAUAUAAGGUUCUAUCCUGAAGGACUCAAUUCCUUGUACGCGCUCCUGACACGGGGAAUUAUCAACUUGGUACCUUCCCUCUCACAAGUUUUCCAUCCAUCAGUGAGAGUUCCACAACUCAAUCACCUCAAACCUGCCUACGCAGUCCAACCUCGCACAUCCUAUCAAAAUACCCCAAGUCAUCCGCAACGGUUCUACAAAUCCACCCAGAGGGCUCGGAUUUAUCAUUCCGCGAACCCUUCCACAGGUAGAGUAUUAUAGGCUUAGGCAGCAUCAUCCUCGUGAUGUCCACACCUAGCAUCACAACCCAUUUGAGGUACGACCUCAAACUCCAACAUCAACAGCAUUACUCAGAUUACUCACAAUCUUAACAAGUACACCCACAACUCAAGGCCAUCUGACAAGGUCAAUGGGCCUCAGCAACGGUCUAAACCUCCAAUCGUGGUUCAAUUUGAAUCACGAGAGUCGACAUACAGUCGGAACGGCCCAACCGGUCCCACAACAGGUGAGAGUGCUCCUCCACGAGGCAAAACACCAUCUAUAAAAUCUCCCUGUCAAUUGAGCUAACGAUUAGUGACUCGAUCGGGGACAUAACGACCGAUCAAGGACAUUCUUUAUUUCAAGGAUUCUCGAUCACCCAAAGCUAAUGGCCACUCAGGCCCCAACCCUCUCCAACACUUACCCUAUUUUAGGUAAGGGAGACUAUCAACGCAUCUAGCGGAAGUAAAUCCUCAAAUCGCACUAUUUCGUGCUCACCGUCCUCAAGGCGAGUCAAGUCAGCUCGCAAUCCAAGGGUACCAGGUACCCCUAACAACUCCACACCAAGGAAGGCCAAUCUAUUUGUUGGCACACAGAAUCAUCUCACGGGGUAGGGCGUUCGAAACGACACACCCGAUCAACCGAUCAUCCACACACGCCGAAAGGUUCAACACUAACAAAUCCUCAGGUUGGGUAACUACACACUAAGUGUGUCCUCGAUCUCACGAUCCAACACGUGGCUUUCCACGUUCUAGGGUCCACGCUCAGACUACCAUCCUGACCAAAACUCUGCCCUACCCGCAGGUACAGGGCCGCUGUCACACACAGCCGACUGCACCUGCCCAACGGGCCCAGGCUCCACAGUCCCCAAAUGGUCCAAGCACGGUCGUCUCCAAGCACUAUCCGGCAAACAGCCGAGCCGGGGUACAACUAAUGCAAUCCUCGUGAAAUCUACAAGCAUAGCAAAAUAUGCCACCCGCAACCCGCAAAUCAAUCGCCUGGCUCGAGAGGCUACACAAUGUCGCAAACAGCGAACUAACGAAAUGUAAUGCAACUCGGUGAAUAGCCGAUCAUAGAUGCAAUGCUCCAAUAACCAACAAUGCACAACUCGAAUGCCACAAACGAAACUGAUACCUGUAGUCACAAACUCGGCCGCUGCCGCCUACUCUGUCUGGGCCACGUACAGGCGUCUGCUCAGGGCCCGUCGUGACCCUCCGUCUGUCGCUGGACGGGUGGCCUUCCGGCCUGACAGUGAGUAAAAGGCAUCCCCCGGCUGGGAUCCGGUAAUACUGGUACCGAUGCUGAAGAUGGCGCUGAUGCUAACCCCCUCGAACAGUCUGACAGGAAGUGACCCUCCUGGCCACACGAGUAGCACCUGCCCUGCCUCUGUGAGCACUGCUGCGGGUAAUGACGGCCACCGCAGAUCACGCAGCUCUGAGUCUGAUGACGCUCGGAUCCUCUAUACAGUGCUGAUGAGCCACGUUCUCGCGACUGGCUCCAGUUCCUGGAAUGUCUCGGCGGCCUCCCAGAGUGCGUCUGACUCGCACCCUCAGUCACGGGUCUCAUACCAUUUCCUUUGUUUGAGCCUUUCCGACGCUCCUGUAAGUCUGCCGCGCAGCUUUCCACGAUGAGGGCGCGGUUCACCACGUCUUGGUAAGUCUGAAGGUGGAAGGGUUGCACCAACCGUAAAAUCGAUGACCGAAGUCCUCGCUCGAAGAUGCGAGCCUUAUCCUCGUCGUCUCGCACAACAAAGGGCGCAUAGCGUAGAAGCUGAGAGAACUCCCUCUCGUACUCGGCCACAGUCCGAUCCUCCUAGCGCAUCUCGGGCAGAUCCUGCUCCACUUUCCUCUUCACGCGGACGAGGAAGUAAUGCUCUAAUAAGAGCUCCUUGAAUCUCUUUCAAGAAAUCGCUGCUAGGUCGGUGUCGGGAUUAUCCUGGAUGCCCACCCACCAACUAUAGGCCUCGCCGUCCAAAUGGUGAGUGGCGAGCCAAACUCUAUCUCUCUCCUCCACGAAGGUGUCGCGGAAUAACUUCUCCAUAUGCGUCAACCACUUCUCAACGAUCCAGUGGUCGGUUUUCUCUCCAUCAAAGAUCCUGGGAUCGCGCCUCCGGAACUCGUCGAGGCGAUCCAUGAGCCGCUGCCGCUCCGCUCUUUCAACCAUCAAGGGAAAAGUCGCCGCUGUCACAGACACCUGAGCUGGUGGUGCUGUCAAUGCCUUCUCCCGAAGGGCUACCGUAAGUGUCAUCUGCGAAGUGUCGAGUACAGGGGAUGACCCCCCCGGGCGCAACUAUUUCCACUGGUGCGGGUAGUACCGAGACCUGAGCCUCCCCGGCAGCUGCCUGUUGUAGAAGAAGGUCCUCCAGUCGCUGCAUCCGUACCUCCUGUCGGCGUGCCGUAUCCACCAGCUGUCGAGCCGCCGCCGCCUGCUGCGUCACCAGAUCAGUGAGGGCCACAAGCUGACUCCUCAACUCACGGACCUCUUUGGAUCCGGAGGCAGCGGGUAUCUCCGCUUCCUCAAAAGUCGUCGCAUCGUCCGCUCCAACUAACUUAGAGCGUGAAGUCGGCAUUGACACUUCAACAUCAUAAAAGCGCAAGUUAAUAUAACCCACGCUAUCGCAACCACGCUCAAAUAAUAAUACCCCAAAUCAUGCGAAAGUAAAGAAGUGUCCCAACUACUAACUCCCGAUGUUACGUUGUCGGCGGCCAACGUAACGCUCCGCGAAGUUAGAAGUCAAACACUCCGAUUUAACUCCACUUUCUAGAGUUAUCCAAGAUACCCAAUCCAGAUACUUUCGCUUACAAGUCAAAUAGACCUCGUCUCUCCCGAGCCUAUUUCCUAUAGUCCAAUCCGGCCUAAGGUUUGCUAGGUCCCCUAAGACUCAACCCUAGGCUCUGAUACCAAAUUAAUCUGUCACGCCCCGGGACCCAGCGGAAGCCCGCCCGGCGCGUGCCCAGACCCGCCAUAUGUCUACAACAUAUAAGGCGUCUAAAAACAACAAUAAUAAAAGCACUAAUACAAGACAUCUAGGAGUAUCAGAACAGAAUAAAAGUCUAAAUGCUACAACAAGGGAUAAGGAUAAAGCUGUAAAUCCACUAAAUAAACAUAAAGUGAUACAAGGAAAAUUUCAAAUACAAGUGCUAUAGGUAGAUACAUAGGUGGUCUCUAUACAUGGAUACAAAAACUCUCACUUUCUCAACUACAAAAGAAAGUGUAAACCACCUAGGCAAAGUACCGCUCCUUGCUAGCUAGCUAAGCGAUCCCCGUGCCGCGAUCCCGUGCCUCCGCCGGUGCCGAAGGCUCUGAAAAGGAAACCAUAAAACAGGGGCGUGAGAACUAUAAAAAAAUAGUUCCCAGUGGGCAAUUACUGACUUCAGUGAAUGCACCACAAGGCCCAAAGCUACAAAAGAGGUCAGUGACUAUAAAAGUAGAAAAGCGAAAAGUAAGUAAAAAUGUAACUUACUACAAUAUGAUAUCUCUACUUAGCAUAAUUAGCAUAAGUACGAAGCAACUAUGCAUGAAGUAAAAGUCCCCAACUAUCAUAAUGUUCACAAUGCGAAAUAGUAAAGUGCCGAUGUUUACUAUUCUAAUCAAGGUCCAAGUAAUACACUAAGUCAUCAUCUGUCCACGUGUCAUAAUGAACACUCAAAGUCAAAUCUGAAGAGACCCACCCGAAGGCUGUCUAUGGCCCUGAGACCCACCCGUAGGCUGUCUGGCCGGUGCCGAGCCUAAUGGCCCCGUGGUAGUCAUCAUCCCCACCCUAGGAAUGAGCCUGUCCCACGGCAAUCCACUUCGGCGCCCAAUCCGCAACGGCGAAUAUGAAUCGUGAUGGCUAUCUCCGGAGUGCCGGCUUGUAGGGAGCGACCUCACAAGCAUGUGCGAAUGAGCACAAUGGCAAGUAAUCAAACGAUCUGUCGUAAGUACCAAGUCCUCAUGUCUAAUAACAUGGAAUGUGUCAAGUAUCUCAAUGGCCUAUCCCUAUGUCAUCAUGUCUCUAACAUGGAAUAUAGCAGAUGUGGAGUGGCCUAUCAAUAUGUCUCUAUGUUGCAGUUUCAUAGUUUACUAGUCUCAAGUGCCCUUGAUGACACUCUUGUUCUCUAUGUCAAAGCAUGGCAACUAUGUUCCAAAGUACAUAUUCCAAGUCAUAAUCCUCAUAAGAGAUGUAUUUUUCACUUGCAAAAUAAACACUUUUCCUAUAUGCAUCCAUUCUACUCAUAUAGCUCUACUAUAUAGUGAAAUUUUCAUGAUACACAAGGCAUGCAUUUUAAGUGUCCCAAAAUUCAUAUAAAUCCCAUUUAGCAUAGAAGUGAAUUUAAAAAUAUUUUCAACAAAUAGAAAGAGCAUAGGGGCCAUUUCGCCCCAUUUUCCGAAGCCAAACCCACCGAUGACGACGAAACUCCUCGUUCGCUCCAACGAGGGUGUCCUCUAGUCUCCUAGUACCUAAAGGUGUGAGAACAUGUGUCAUCUAGUCGAAACGAACGACGCUAAGUUCAAUCUUUAAGCUAUUCAAGCAUAGGUGGAGGAAAACUGACCUCUAGUGCAAAAUCUCCUCUAAAGCUCCGAAAGAGAGCUAGAGUCCAUCCAAUCCCACAUAAUGGAAGCCUCUAAACCAUCAAUCUAGCUUCAAAAGCCCUAGAUUCAAAUACCCAAAAUAAACCUAAUAUCACAAUCUAGGGUUUCAUCUCAAAUCCAACGGUAAAACUUCAAUUUAGAGGAAAAGGAUGAGCUACUAACCUUUUAGAAGCUUCAAACAAGAUUCAAAAUCCUCAAAGUGUGGAGAUCUCCCUCUCCCCAAGCUCCAAGGUCAAGCUCCCAUGGAGGAAAAGCUUCCAACAAGCAAAAAGAGCAAAAAGAGGGUUUAAUCCUCCAAAAUCCAAGAGAAUGGGAUCAAAUCCAAGGGGGAAGGAGAAGAGGGGUGCCCUACCUUGCCCUCUCUGUGAUCUGAGCUUAUGAGAAGCCCUAAGGGGCGUGGGGUACUAAUAGAGAGGCUACAAAAGCAAAAACACCCCUGCAGUUCAAACUGCACGAAAUCUGCCUCCUUGUACCGGUACACGGGCUCUUGUACCGGUACAAGGCCCACGAAAAUGCAAACCCGAGGCUCGGGUCGCGGGGUCUGCGGCUCUGUACCGGUACAAGCCCGAUGGCUGUACCGGUACAACCAUCAAUCCUUGUACCUGUACAAGACCAACCUUGUUCCGGUACAAGCUCUGCUGCAGGCUAACCCGAGAGCUGUCCAAUGAAUCCAAUUUUUGGAUUUUGGUACCAAGCUUACAAACACAAUUCUCGGGACUCAAACCAUAGGUUGGAACACUGUCAACGACCCACCAGAAAGUCUGGAAAAGCUCGACACACAAAUCAAACACUUGAACCUCGCAAUUUGCAAAGGUCCAGUGUGUUACAGAGGCACUCUAUGGGCGUAAGUGUCGCUCUCCUAUCCAUUGGAGCGAAGUGGGUGAAAGAGUCGCCCUUGGUCCGGAUGUGGUGCGAGAGGCGGAAGAGAAAGUCCGUUUUGCUCGCCAAUGAUUGAUGACGGCACAAUCGCGACAAUGAAGCUAUGCGAAUAAGCGCCGAAAGGAUUUGGAAUUCGCGGUUGGCGACCGUGUGUUUCUCAAAGUGUCGCCAAUGCAUGGGGUGAAGCGGUUUGGCAUUCAUGGGAAGCUUAGUCCACGAUAUAUCGGGCCCUACGAAAUUCUAGACGAAUUGGGCCGGUGGCGUACAAGUUGGCAUUACCGCCGAAGCUUGCGGGAGUGCAUAAUGUAUUCCACGUUUCGAAUCUUCGCAAGUAUUUUCGGAACUCCUCACAUGUGUUGUAGUAUGAACCGGUGGAGUUGCAUGAGGAUGUCACCUAUGAGGAAUUCCCGGUGAGCAUUCUUGCUCGAGAGGAGCGGAAGCUACGGAAUUGGACUAUUCCGUAUGUAAAAGUGCAAUGGAGUAAUCACUCGAGGCGUGAAUCCACGUGGGAACUAGAGGAGAAGAUGCGCGAAGUCUAUCCUCACUUGUUUGAACAAGUGGACUACGGUACGUGUUUAAGUUUCGCGGCUGAAGCUAUUUUUAUGGGGUGGGGAAUGUAACAUAUCACUUUCCCGUAAAUCAUGCCGAGUUCCGUCGAAAUGUGCGGAAUGCGGAGUGGAACAAGUUGGUAUAGGUUCUAAGUGCGUUGGAACCUAUAUAUAUAGUAAAGGGACCCGAGAGAGUGAAAGUUGCAAUUCUGGCUAAGUUCCAGAAUUUUGGACUCUCGGGGACCGGUCCCUGCGGGGAGAGACCGAUCCCCGUAUCCGUAGCCUACCUAGAAAGCUGGAAAAGCGGCUAAGUCUUGGAAGACCAGGCUACGGGAACCUGUCCCUACGGGGAGAGACCGGUCCCCGUAGGUGAAAAAGUUGGGAAAUGGCUAAGUCAGGAAAUAUUGCUCUGGGGAACCGGUCCCUGCAGAGAGAGACCGGUCCCCGUGCGUGCAGUCAGCCCGAAAAGAGUGGAAAUUUGGCUAAGUCCUGUUAGGUGUACUCUCGGGGACCGGUCCCUGUGGGGAGAGACCAGUCCCCGUAUGCGAAAAUCGCCCAGUUGAGCUGAAGUGAAAAAUGGAUAGUUGAGGGGUUUAAAUGCAAAAGUGGCAUGUAACACACUGGACUUUCGCAAAUGGCAAGGUUCGAGUGUUUGAUUUGUGUUUCGAGUUUUUUUAGAUAUUCUGGAGGGUCGUCGACAUUGUUCCGACCUAUGGCUCGUAUCCCGAGAUUUGUGGUUUAAAACUUUGCACCAAAACCCAAAAAGUUAGAUUAUUGGUGUGCUCUCGGGUAGCCUUCAGCAGGCUGUGUACCGGUACAGGGUUGAUGGCUGUACCGGUACGGGGUGAUGGCUGUACCGGUACGCGGGGCCGUGUACCGGUACACAGGCAGCUUCUCAGCCAACCCGAGGCUCGGGUUUGGCAUUUUCAUGGGAUGUGUACCGGUACGCGACCCCGUGUACUAGUACGUAGUGCAGUCAGCAGACUGCUUGAACUGCAGGGGUGUUUUUGCGAUUGUAGCUUCUCUAUAUUAGUACCCCACGCCCCCUGGUGUUCCUUGAGCUUGGAACCAGUGGAGAGGAAGGUAAGGGACCUCUCUAUUCUCCCUCUUUGAUUUCCUUUGUUUUUAUUGGGAUUUUUCGAGGUUUAAUCCUCUCUUUUUGCUCUUUUGUGCUACUUGGUGCUAUUUCAACCAUGGGAGAAAGCUUGAGGCUUGGAGUUGAGCUUGUUGAAGGAGAGAUCUUCAACCCUAGUUGACUUCUAGCCUAGUUGGGAGCUUCUAUAAAGGUUAAUAACAUGUUUCUCUCAUUAGAUUCAUAUUUUACUUGAUUUUCGUUUAGAAACCCUAGAAAUGAGAAUUUGGGGAUUUUUGAUCUAGGACUUUUGGAGCUCAAUUGAUCGGUUUAGAACCUUCCUCUAGGUUAGAGUGGAAGGGUUCUAGCCCCCAUUUGGAGCUCGGGAAGCGUUUGCUUCACUAUAGGUGAGUUUUGCCCUUAUCUUGAGUUUGUUAUUGUUUUAGCUUGUUGUAGUUCGUUUUGUUCGUGUAACUCCCCUAGUUUUACCUAUAGGGAGCUAGGAGGUUAGUAGGCACCUCCCUUCGGCGAAACGAUGGGCUUCGAGGAGACUUGAUGGGUUUGGCCUCACCAAAAUGGGAUAAAUCAUCCCUAUAAUGGUUUUUACUUUUUGUAAAAUGAGAAUGCAUACAUAUUCUUACUAGAUAGAAUAUUGAAGAAUUUUAGAAUGCUUAAUAUGUGCAUGUUAUGUAUAAAGUAUAUUGGACCUCUAUGUAGUAGAGAACUGUUCAUAUUUGGAACCUUGCAUAUGGUUAGCAUUCUUACAUUUGAUUGAGAUCAUGUUGCAUGUAGUGCAAAUGACAUGUAGAUUACACUCUUGGACUUAGAACGCAUGCUUGGCAUGGUUGGACAUGUGGUCAUUGAGUGACAUAGGUUAGAGUGUAUGUAAAUUGUAAGCUAAUGUCAUAAAGCGGCAUUAGGCUUGGACUAGAGAUGGAUUUAGUAAGCUAAUGUCAUAAAGCGGCAUUAAUCUUGGAAUGGUUUUGGACAUAGUGAAAUGAUGCCAUAAAGAGGCAUCGGACAUAGUGAACUUAGUAAACCUUCACUUGAGGCACAGACUAGACCUAUGGGUUGCUAGUGAGUAUUUCCACGUUUUAGACAUGAUGACAUAGUGACAGGCCACUGAGACACAUGCUACAUUCCAUGUUUUAGAUAUGAUGAUAGGCCAUCGAAAAUCUACUAUAUUCCGUAUUUUAGACACGAUGACAUAGAGAUAGGCCAUUGGGACAAUUACUAUAUUCCGUAUGUUAGACACAAUGACAUAGAGGCAGGCCUUUGGGACAUGUGCUGUAUUCCGGGUUUUAGAUCCGAUGAAACAGUGAUGAACCAAUGGGACCUGAGACGGACUUAUUCGCUUGCAUGCCAUUGUGCUCAUUCGCACAUACUUGUGAGGGUCGCUCCCUACAAGUUGGCACUCCGGAGAUAGCCAUCGCAACACACUCCCUACAAGUCGGCACUCCGGAGAUAGCCAUCGCGACACAUGCUCGCUCGUGCGGGAUUGGGUGCCGAAGUGGGAUGCCGUAGGGGAGGCUCAUUCCUAGAAUGGGGAUGUUGACUACCAUGGGGCCAUUAGGCACGGCGCAGGCCAGACAGCCUACGGGUGGGUCUUCAGUCCAGACAGCCUACGGGCGGGUCUUACAAGAUUGGAACUUUAAAGUAGACACAUUGACUAGAACAGUAAACAAUAAGUGAUAAACACUACUUGAUUGUAUAUCGUAGUUGGAUUCAGUUUACAUUGAGAAUAGUGGUACCCUUAAUUGCCACUAACAUACUAGAUAGUAUACUUCAUAGUAUUACCUGUUGCAUCAUAGUAUACUUGGUAGCCAUGAUAGAACAUAAUUACUAUGCAUUGGCACAUUUGGAUCAUAUAGAGUAGAGUACUCCAUGAUGAUAUCCCGAUUAUUUAUGGCAUAGUAGAAUAGCAUUUUACUAUAUGCUUUAUUUACCGCAGUUAAUUUCUGUUAUCCAUUUCUGCUUUCGAUUUGGGCCUAGUGGUGCAUUUUGCUAAGGUCAGUAAUUGCCCACUGCGAACUAUAAAUUAUAGUUCUCACGCCCCCUGUUUUAUGUUUUCUUUCAGAGCCUUCCACUCCGGGAGAGGCUCGGGAUCGCGGGACAGGUUUCGCCUCGAGUUAGCUAUCGAGGGACUUGGUGAUAGGUGGUCCACUUCUCUUUUGUUUUCUUUUGGAGAGGUUGUGAGAGUUUUGUACCUGGUUAUAGAGACCACCCUGUUUUUGUAUCUUGAGAUUUGUGAUGUAUUAAUUUGCUUUAUGCUUUAGUGGUUCAAUUCUCUUUUUGACUCUACUUGUUGUUAGAACCUAGCUGUGUAUUUGCUCUGAUAUCUCUAGAUACUUUCAACUUCUUGUUCAUUCAUUCGUUUUGUUGUAGACGCCUUAUAUGUGCAGGCAUAUGGCGGGUCUGGGCACGCACCGGGCGGACCUACGCCGGGUCCUGGGGCGUGACAUGGCAUGUGUUGGGUAUAUGUGUGAGAGGGAUGAGUGUUAGGGCUCAUUCUCUCCCACACCAACAAAACAUAUCCCCCCCCCUCUCUCUCUAAAAACCCUUCUCCUCUCUCUUCCUCUCUCUCUAGGGCUUAGACCAAAGUGGGAUUUGGAGGACAUGGGUGGAGAAGAAGAACAAGUUGAAGGUGUAGCUUGCAAGAGUGCAAGAGUUUGAGGCAAAGCUUGGACUCCAAGGUGAGUUUCCAUGAUAUUGAGUUAGGGUUUUGGUUUGUUUCCUUCUAGCUUGCUUCUAGGAGAUGAUUAGAGGAUUUCCCCCAUGUUUCUCAUGUGUAAGGACUUAGUUGGGAAAGAUGAUAUUGUACAAGGACCUAUACUUGGGGCUUUUGGAUUUUGAGAUCGAAGCUUGGGUUUGAUCUCAUUUUAACCUAAUUGGUAGGUCAACGAACCCGUUGGUGCACUCAGUUCGGCGAUACGACGAGCGUGCACGAAGAAAUUGAGGAAACACGUUAAAUUGGUAUAGAUUGCCAUAGCUUGCGGCGAAGGCGUCUAAAAAUCACGAAAAUAGGACCACGGCAUCCUAGCAUCACCAAAAGGUGGGGGGUGCUGUCCGAAAACACCGGAUCUCUUUCUAUGUCUAUGUCACUUCCUUUGAGCAUAUUGAUGUAGGGUAGCUUACUAUGUGUUCUUGGUUGAAUUGCAUUUAUAUGCUUAAAGAAUAUGUGAAAUGAUAAAGAACCAUGUGAACCAUGUGUGAAAGAACCCUAUGUGUAUGUGAAUGUGAGAAUGGACUAUGACAAUAGUAAACAAAGGUGACAUUGACAUUAGUGACCAGAUUGGCACCGAGAAUGUAAAUGACUAAACAAAGUUUAGUUUAUUAUUGGCAUCAGGACCACUGUGGUUUUGUGUAUUGAGACAGGUUUGGCAAGACUUCCUCAAAUUGAGGAUUGGAUCGUACUCACACUAGCUAUGGCUUGAGGACGGUAGCUCCUCCUCAAGUGGUGUACUCCGGAGUGUAGACACCACGGGGAGAGGCCUCGUCAUUUGUUCCCUCGGGUGGUAGUGCUAGUAGCAUCCCCCGGUAGAUGGGAAUUGUGGUUUGUGAGAUUCGGGGUGAACCAGGAGUACCUCGGAUGAUUGGGUAAAGGCCAAUAGAAAAGAAAAUGAACGACAAAGGACAUACAUGCAUAAUUAUCAUGUAUUGGUAUAUCUAUCUAUCUGUGGAUUGUUUUUGUGCAGGCAUUGUAAUAGUUUUGCAUUAGCUGGUUUGCAAUCUAUUGUUUCUUGAAUUACAUAUGCCUGAAAUAGACCUAGUAGGCGAAUCGGCGCGGUCGGUGGCCGAACCCACUGGGAACUUCUUCUAGUUCUCAUUACCACUAACCCUGCAGAUCCGUGGGCGAGCGGGGCGGCGGAGGAUCGAGGCAAGGGUAUUGCACCGUAGCUAGCGGCCUCGGAGUAUAGGCAUACCCUAUAUUUUGAGUAUUCAAUAUUUGUAUGUUGAACUAGUAAUGUAAAAUGAUGUAAACCUUAUACUUUGGGAUAAAAAAGCCAAUGUGAUGUAAAUGAAUGGAUAAAAUGAAUGUAAAUGUAAUAGUUUACUUGUGUUUGAUUCAAAGGAAAUCAAAUGACUUGUAUGUUGAAUGUUUAGUUAGUAUCGAUGCUUUCACGUGUUUGUUGUUGUUUGCCCUCGUGCAAACCUUGUAUAUCUUGCAAUCUCUUUGUUGACUUGCUUGUAAUAUACAUGUUGUUUCAGCCUUGGGCGGACAGGGGAGGUGCUGUCCGUUCGGCGUCUGUUCGCGUGCCCGAACCGUCCAAAUUGGCGGCCCCCGGGGCGUGACAAAGAUGGCACCUUUCGAGGCACUCUAUGGACGGAAGUGUAGAUCUACUUCAUUGGAGUGAAGUUGGCGAGAGAUUGGCUUUAGGCCUCGAUGUGCUCCAGGAAGCAGAGGAUAAGGUUCGUAUUGCUCGGGAGCGACUGUUGACAGCCCAGAGUAGGCAAAAGAGUUAUGCUGAUAAGCGUCGACGAGACUUGGAAUUUCAGAUUGGAGAUCAUGUCUUCUUGAAGGUUUCGCCGACCAAGGGAAUUAGAAGAUUUGGGAUUCGGGGUAAGUUGAGCCCCCGAUUCACUGAACCGUAUUAGAUUUUGAAGCGUGUAGGCCCGGUGGCGUAUCGACUUGGUCUACCGCCAAACCUAUCGGGUGUACACAAUAUAUUUCAUGUAUCGGUCCUUCGAAAAUACAUCUAUGAUCCGGCUCAUGUUUUGGAUGCUAUACUAUUGGAGCUGAGGGAUGAUUUGAGCUCUGAAGAGCAACCUUUGAGGAUUUUGGCUCGCGAGGUGAAGAGGCUGCGGAACCAUGAGAUUCCCUAUGUGAAGGUGCUUUGAAGCAACCACGAUGCACGUGAGGCCACGUGGGAGCUGGAGAGUGCGCUGGUGGAGUGCUAUUCCUAUCUUUUUCAGAUGGAGGCUUGAGAUACUUUGCUUUUUGAGUUUCGCGGACGAAACUCCUUUUUAGGAAGGGUGAAUGUAACACACUGGACCUUUCCAAAUUGCGAGGUUUGAGUAUUUGAUCUGUGUUCUGAGUUUUUCCAGAUAUUCUAGAGGGUUGUUUACAGUGUUCCGACCUAUGGCUCGUAUCGCGAGAAUUGAGGUAUUUAAAGUAGCGCUAAGGUCACCAAAGAGGAAGACUUAGGCCGCUCUCGGGUUGCUCUCUGCAAGAUUGUGUACCGGUACACCUUGAUGGUGUACCGGUACAAAAAGUGUAUCGGUGACAACUCGAUGGUUGUACCGGUACAGAUGUGGUUUAUGGCCAACACGAGCCUCGGGUAUGCGCAUUCAUGGGAUUUGUACCGGUACACUUUCCCGUGUACCGGUACACUUUGGCAGACUGCAAAAUAGCAGCUUUGAGGGGUGUUUUUGCUAUUGUAGCAACUCUAUAUUAGCCCCUACGCCCCCCUAGGGUUCUCUUGAGCUGAGAACUCACAGAAUUCAAGGUGAGUGAGCUUUUUUCUCCCCUCCUUGGAUUUGAUCUCCAUUUUGCUUGGUUUUAGAUGGAUUAAUCCCCUCUUUUGCCUUUUAGAGCAAUUUCCACCUUGGGAAAAGCUUGGACUUUAUGUUUGGAGCUUGAUUGAAAGGAGAUCUUCAACCUUAGUUGAUUUCUAGCCUUGAUUGAAGCUUCUAAGAGGUAAGCAACUUGUUCUCUCCUCUAGAUUUCAAGAUUUGGUCGUGUAUUUGAGAUGAAGCCCUAGAAUGGAAACUUAGGGUUGAUUUUGGGCAUUUUGGAUUUAGGGCCUUUGGAGCUUGAUCUCUUGGAUUAGAACCUUCCUCUAGGUUAGAUUGGAAGGGUUCUAGCUUCCGUUUGGGAUCCGAGAGAGUUUAUCACCAUCUUAGGUGAAUUUUUGCCCCUUUUCUUGAGACAGUUAAUGAUUGAGCUUAGGAUUGUUCGUAACGUUCAAUUAUUUCUUCUCUUGUUACCUUUAGGGUGCUAGGAGAAUAGUGGGCAACUCCGUUCGGCGAAACGAAGGAGUUUUAGCGGAGCUCGGUGGGUUUGACCUCACCAAAGAAUGAGAAAAUCUCAUUUUUGUUGAUUUAAGUAUCGUAAAAUGGAAAAUCAUGCAUUUUCAUGUUAGAUGCAUUAUUUAUGAAUUUUAGAAUGCUUAAAAUGCUUAUGUUGUAUACAAUGCAUUUUUGGACCUCUAUAUAGUAGAGAGCUUGCAUGUGAGACUUAUGCAUGAGUUUAGCAUUCGCAUUCGGGACUUAGAAUCAUGUUUCGUAUAGUGAAAAUGACAAUGUUAUAUGCCCUUGGACAUAUGAGAAUACAUUAGGCCAUGAAGUGGCUUGGGACUUGGAUAUCAUGUGAAUUAGUGAGCUAAUGUCAUAAAGUGACAUUGAGCUUGAUUUAUAUAUGAACCUAGUAAAUAAUGUCAUAAAGAGGCAUUAGACUAGAGUAAUAUGUAAAUUAGGGAGCUAAUGUCAUAAAGAGACAUUAGGCUCAGAAUUGGUAUAGUAAGCUAAUAUCACAAAGUGGCAUUGGGCUUGGACUAGAUAUGAACUUAGCAAGCUCAUGUCAUAAAGGGGCAUUAGGCUUGGAAUAUGCGCUGACUUAGUAAACCGAAUGUCAUGAAGUGGCAUUAGUGUUGGAACAAGAUUUGGGCGUAGUGAGAUAUAAUGCCAUAAAUAGGCAUUGGACAUAAUAAAUGGUUAAACCUUCACUUGGGAUAUUGGACUAGACCUAUGGGUUGCUAGCGAUCAUUUCCAUGGUUGAGCCAUGAUGACCGGAUCGUUGUGACGAUGACUAUGCUUGCUUGCCAUUUGUGCUCAUUCGCACAUACUUGUGAGGGUCGCUUCCUACAAGCCGGCACUCUGGAGUUGGCCUACGCGACCUAUCCUCGCUCGUGCGGUAUCGAGAAACCUACAAGGUCGGGAGGGAUAGACUCAUUCCUAGAGUGGGAAUAUUGGAGCUACCAUCGACACUUAGGUGGCACAAGCUGGACCACACUUGUGCAGGUCCCCAAAACAAGAUUGAACAAUGACAUCGAUUCAUAAAUGAUAAUCACUACUAAAUAGGAUGUAGUAGUUGGAUUACCUUGUCAUGCAAUAGCAUAACUGUGAACAUUUGAGACAUAUAGUAUACUUGGUAAUAUCGCUCAUUGCGUUAUAGUAUACUUGCUUGCCAUGUGGGAUCAUACUAUAUAUGGGUUGGACAUGCUUGAUCACGAUAGAAUGAAUGUACAAUAUAUUGUCAUCAUAUUACUUAUGGCAUAGUAGUUUAGCAUUCAAUACAUGCUUUCAUAUCUGCAGUUUAUUUUCAGUUGUUUAUCAUAUCUACCUUACUCGUUUGGGCCUAGUGGAGCAUUAUGCUAAGGUCAGUAAUUGCCCACUGGAAACUAUAAAUUAUAGUUCUCACGCUCCCUGUUUCUUGUUUUCUUUCAGAGCCUUCCAUACCGGGUGAGGCUAGGGACCGCGGAAAGGGUAUCGCCUCGAGCUAGCUUGCGGGCGAGGGACUUAUCGAUAGGUGGUCUACCUCUCAUCGGUUUUAUUUUGGAGAGGUUGAGAGUUGUACCUGUGCAUAAAGACCACCCUUUUUGUAUCUUGAGACAGAUGAUGUUUUUACUUUAUAUUUUAUAUUAGUUGAUAGUUUCCUUUCUCUCUGCUUGUUGUUAGAAUUUAGCUGUUGUUUGCUCUGAUAUCUCUAGUUGUCUUCCUUCUACUUGCUUUCGUAUCUCUAUUGUGGUAGACGCCUUAUAUGUGCAGACAUAUGGCGGGUCUGGGCACGCACCGGGCGGGCCUAUACCGGGUCCAGGGGCGUGAUAUUGAUCAACUUCUACUUGACCCAAGGUAUUUUACACUUUUUGCAUGUGUAAUUUUCGAAGAUUUUCGAAGUAGUUAUUUGGAAGCUUUUAACCCUUUAGAAUUCUUCUUAGAGUGCUAGAAACUCAGUGGACAACUUCGUUCGAAGGAACGAAAGUGUUUGAAUGUGAUCCGAUAGGUUUGAUCUCACCGAAAUGGGUGAACUCCCCCCUAUAUCUCCUAUGAUGUUAUAAGGCUUAAUUGUUGCAUAAUCAUGAUGUUUAUGCCAUGAUAGAAUUUUAGGGUGCUUGAGAAAUACAUGUUAUGUAUAACCUGUUGUAUGCUCUAUGUAGUAGAGAACAAUAGAUGAAAUCAUGCAUGUUGUACCUAUGAAGUUAUAGCACGAUGACAUGUUCUUUUUAUUGCAUUGUAGAAAUGCAUAAUAGAGAUGAAUUCUAGGUCAUUUGAGACUCUAGAGGGAUAAUGGAACUAGUGGACUUUGCAACUAGUUUACUUGCUAGAUAAUGAUGAGCAUGAUGUAUUACAUGUUAACCAUUUGAUGUAGAGCCAUGAAUGUUGUACUUAGUUUGAUGAACAACUAAGUUAACCGGGUAACUUUAUAUUGACCCUUGAGUUGAUAAAUGUGAUUCCGUGUUUUGCACACGAUGAUUGAUGUAGUUCGAAUACUUGACAUCCAUAUGACAUGUAGAGGGUUGAUACACUCUCGGUAGUAAAGCACAUAGUAGUACAUGUUGCAUGAGUAAAGAAGCCAUUCAUUUGCAUAAUAAUGUUGUACCCUAUAUAGAGGAGGCUCAAAUAGUGAGGUAUACAUAUACGCUUGUAAACACUAUGGUUUACCCAUCCUAUGAGUUGAUAGAUGAAACCUUAUGCUAUAGGCAUGUAGGAGAUUCAUGUGUUGAAAUAUGCAAUUGUCACGCCCCGGGGCCCAGCGGAAGCCCGCCCGGCGCGUGCCCAGACCCGCCAUAUGUCUACAACAUAUAAGGCGUCUAAAAACAACAAUAAUAAAAGCAAUAAUAAAAGACAUCUAGGAGUAUCAGAGCAUAGUAAAUGUCUAAUUGCUACAACAAGGGAUAAGGAUAAAACUGUAAAUCCACUAAAUGAAACAUAGAGUAAGAACAAUAGGAAAUCCCAAAUACAAGAGUUAAAAGUAGGUACAUAGGUGGUCUCUAUACAUGGAUACAAAAUCUCUCACUCUCUCUCAACUACAAAAAGAAAGAGUAAACCACCUAGGCAAAGUACCGCUCCUCGCUAGCUAGCUAAGCGAUCCCCUUGCCGCGAUCCCGUGCCUCCGCCGGUGCCGAAGGCUCUGAAAAGUAAACCACAAAACGGGGGCAUGAGAACUAUUAAAAAUAGUUCCCAGUGGGCAAUUACUGACUUCAGUGAAUGCACCACAAGGCCCAAAGCUACAGAAGAUGUNNNNNNNNNNNNNNNNNNNNNNNNNUGAAUAUGUACAAACAUUCAUUAAACGGAAUUUCGGUUAUGCAAAUUGCGUCUGGCUGUACGUCCUUCCGCCGGAGCACGCCGAGACUGCCGUCGAGAUUUGGCAUUUCAUUCUCCUGGCUGCUAACUCGCUGGUAUCUGCACAACAAAGUCCACAAAUACGUUAUCACGCAAAAUCAAAUGAAAUCAAAAUUCGACUCGGACCAGUUAGUAGGAUCUAUCGACGGAUCAGUUAACUAACUUUAUCGAAUCCAGAAGUGUGAGGCCGCCGUCCGUCGUGGAAUGCCGACGGAGAGCCUCCCAUCCUUCUCUCCUUCUUCAGGUAUUUAUCAUGCCAGCUAGACCGAGAGUCUGUCGGCGGACGGGAUCUAUUAUUCAUGCCCCAAGAUGAGCUAUUCAGCUUGAGCUGUUCGAGCCGAAACAGAAGUUUGCGUCCCCGCGAAUGCCAGCUGUGAGAUGUCUGCACGCUGAAGAUUCAUUAGGCAGGUGAGGUCAGGAGUAUGAGGGUCGAUGAUCUGCUUUCUUCACUCCAUUUAAUUGAGAAAUUCUCUUUUCAGAAUGAUUUGUACUAAGAAACUAAUAAUAAUAAAAAAGGCAUAAGAGGACUAAGAUAACAAAUGGGACUAAGAAAUUUUUAGGUAGUAGAUGAAUUGUUAAAGUAGAGAGUAUUAUAAUCUGAAGCAAAUGCGGGGCGGAGAUGAACAAUGAACAUGCACUUUUUUUUUUAAUGUUUCCUAGUAAUAUAAUGAGAUUAAUGUAAAACAAAAAACUUUACCAAAUUAUUGGCUGAAAAAAAAAAAUGCAGAUAAAUGAUCAAGAACCCUUAUAUGUAGCUUCUGAAACAUCACAGACCACAAAUUUUUGCAAUAAUAAAAAACAGAAAAAAAAAACAACUAAUAAGUUAAAGGAAACAAUAGUAGCUGCUAAAGAUCCAACAUUUGAACUACCUAAUUACUCUCUCUCUCUCUUCUCUCUCUCUCUCUCAAACAGUUUUCUUUUUGUUGCUCUCUCAUUUGUAAACCCAAGAGGCUCCGAAAUAUAAGGAGUUUGUAUGGAUAUCCCUACAAAUUAUAAAAAUUACAUUAUUCUAAUAGAGAAACGCUUUUUCAUUUUUUGAUAGAACUGUAGAAAUAAUCUUAAUGGUACUAUUACGAUGUACGUAGCAUAGUAUGAGGUAUGAAAAAAACGAGAGUAUUUUUUUUUACAUCAGAGCAGAUGUCUCUCACACAUAGCGUUAAUUAUCUUUCUGCAAUCCAAUACGAUAGUUCGUUUAAGAAACCUUAGCCAAAGAAGGAAUACAAUUGCCAAUGUAGAUGGUAUGGUAAGAGUGAUGGUUCAUAACUUUUUUUGUUGAUGAGUAUGUAUUUAUUUAGAAUCUAUUGUCAUUUAAUUUAUGAACUGAGUUGCUAGCGUAAUGAUUAGCAAAAUAUUCUCAAGUUAAUUUGGAAGCUUAGCAUAGAUAAUGUGUAAGCUAAUUAUAAAUAAAGUGAAAGAAAAAUUCAAUGUGUUGUGUAAAAAAAAAAAUCAUUUGAAAAAGAGAAUUGCUAAAGAUCGGAUAGAGGUUUCUAGUUGAGUUGUAAAAUGAGAGUAACAACAAAAAAAAUAUAAAUAAGCGCACAAAUACAGAAGAAUACCCUUCAUUAAAUAUCAAUUUGCCAUGCCACAAUAAAUUCAAAAUUUUUUAGGGGUUACGGUCGUUAAUGAUAGAAUGGGUGAAAUGAUUAAAUUUGUCUUGACUUGCUCGUAUUAAAAAAUUUGUAACUAUAUUUAUGUAAUUUUCAAGGUAUCUGUUGUAUAAAUUUUACGAAAUAGAUGAAAAUAAUUAAAACCCGUAACAAAGGCAACGCGGCUAAAUGCGUGAUAGGGGUGCAAACGAGGCUGUAACACAGCCGAAUGUGCGGCCAUUGCUCUAUUAUAUUGAGCGCCGAAUUCAGCCGCUUUCGAAUAAUUUCGAGCCAGAUAAGCGGUUCGAAGUAUGUCGGUCGAAUCGAAUUGAGCUGAAAUUAUCGAUGCUGGCUAAAAUAAAUUUAUUUUUAUUUUUGUUUUUCGAAGCUAAUAUUCAUAGCAGUAUUUGUUCAAAUUCUGGCCUUAUGAUAUUGUUUAUUCCGAUCCGGCCCUCAUGUUAGCUUGAAUUCUUUGUUUAUUUAUGUUAUUUGUUUUUCAAUUCUAAAAUGUUAUGAAAUAUUUGUUAAUAUUAACUACUAUAAAUUUAACUACAAUUAGCCAUAUAAGUACAAUCGAAAUAUGAAAUAUCAAUCUCUAAAUUACAAGAAUCAUAAAUACAAAUAAUACAUACAAUCAACAUAUCUAUAUAAUCAACAUUAGGUGCUCAAAUUACAAUCAAUAGAUUUUUGUCUGAUAAUCAUUAUUCUUUAGAAUAAAAAUUUAUAUUUUAUUUUUAAUAAUAUAUAAUAUUAAUUAGAUAUCCUAUCUACUAAUACUAUAGUAUAGAGGUUGAGCCCGAUGAUAGAUUUUACAAGUAUCACAUCAUAGUGCUAUUAGUUUUUAAGCCAUGUGAAUCUACUUUUUGAAUUAUUAAUAAAGCAUCUUGCUAUUAUAACAGCUAUUACCACCUCACACCACAACCCUAGCCAACACAUUCUCAAAUCAAUUCUCUCCAUUCCAAGGAUGCCUAAAAGACACACAAGUAUCUCCCCGCAUGAUACUUUUACAAUUAUUUUCUAGCCCUUACUCUCUCUCUCUCUCUCUCUCUCUCUCUCUAUUAUAUAUAUAUAUAUAUAUAGAAACGGGAGGUGGGAUACUAUUAAUAGCCCACCAAAGCAAUUUCUGCUAUUAGUUUUUUAGAAUUGAGCAUUAAAAAAUCUCUUGGCGGAUUAGCGAUGAUUAUGGACCCCGAGGCUUGGGUGGAAUAUUGGUGGUCGCAGGUAGUGAUUAAAUAGAUAUAAUCUAACGGGUAAAAAUAAUUAAAGGAUUAAAUCUAACGGGUGGAAACUCGCAUAGCACAAAAUCCUUAAGUGUUAUCGAUAGACUAUCCAGCGGGUUAUAUAUAAUAUAUUAUAGGCAGAGAGAGACGAGAGGGAGAGGAGAGAGAGAGAGAGGGAGAGAGAGAGAGAGUUUGCUUAGAUACUAUCCGGCUAGUAAACGGCCGUUUAGUACUAAUUUGUUAUUACGAUGAUAGAGCUUCCAAAUUGUAUGAUCGGCCACACGUUAAAUAUGAUCUAAACUAUUUAAACUAUUCUGAAAAUCAAAUUUUCACAAUAUUUUCGAUAUGUUUCUCUUGUCCAUUAACGUGAAUCAGAAAAAUGAAUGGCUUGAAAUGAAUAUCCACUCAAAAAAGUGAUGAUACAAUUUUCUAAUAUUGAUAUCUGAGUCUAGAUCUUAUUUAAAUAGUGUUUAAAGAUUUUUUAACAAAAAUUUAGUUGAUUUGAAACUUCUCUGAUACAUUUAAAUGAGCAACGCACCAUUAUUCUGCCAUUAAAAUUAUAUUUUUUGUACCCUCUUGACUCGUCAGUUAAUGAUGCCAAAAAAAUUAUGUAAAUUUGAUUUCUAGAUAAUUUAAAUGGUCUAGAUCAUGCUCAACGGUGCGGAUCGUGAUUUGAAGAGCUUAUCAUCAAAAUAAAUCGUUAGCUAAAGCUAGAGCAGUUUAGCUACCGAUGUUAGCCCAGUCAACUCUAUAGUAUAUAAUAUAUAUAUAUAUAUAGUUUAAAUGCUUUACAGUAUACAACUAAAACAAUACAAGUAAAGAUAAUUACAAGAAUAAUUACAGCAUAUCUAAAAAUUAUCAUUUAUCUGACAUAAAAAUAAAGUUACAAGCAAGGUUCUAUUAAAUAUACCUAUAAGUUUAGGGGGCAUCUUCAUUCUCCUACAUUUCCACCAAAUAAUUAAUUAGCACAUUAAAAGUAUUAAAAAGGGAAAUAUAAACUUACAUUACUUAAACCCCACAAUAAUCACAUGGAUGUGCUCAUUAAUUUAUAGCGAACUUACACCAGUUACUACAUAAUAAAAGAGAAAAGUAGAUUUUAUAUAUAUCAGUGGCAUAAUGGCUAUAUUUCCUAAUAUAUUUCCUAAUAUUGUGCCCCACUCAAAGUGAUUUUGAAUAGCCUCACACAUGCAUAAGGAAUAAUUGGCGAACAUUGUCAAACCUACCCUUAUAUUACAAAUAUUAUAUGCAUCCCUAAAAAAUUACCAAAUAUCAUUUACUACUAUUAAAUUGAUGAAAUUAUGUGGGACUCAUGCAGUUAUUCUAUAGCUUUUUGUAACUAUAGGAUAAAUAUAUUUCUCAUCCAAAAGUAGCACUAUAUAUUUAACCUUUUUCACUUUUCAGCUAGAAAUUAGAUUUAAUUUAACAGAAAAUAUAUAAUUUUUUCUUUGUAAAUAUUGUUUUUCACUUGCUUCCCAACGUUCAAAAAUCUAUAUUUUAUCCUUCAAAUUAAUUCCCGAUUUAGUUACAAGGUCUAGCUACUCGCAAGUUGCUCCGUGUUCGAUUGAAUAAAACUUCGAAAAUGAGUAUCGUUCAGAAUUAAUUUCAAAUAAAAGAGCUGGAUUUUUUUCUCCGAAAAAAUUUUAAACAAGUCACGGAGCAGGCCUCUGCUCAUCCUGUUCCACUCGAAAUAGUUAUCUUAUAUAUAUUAUAUAAUAUAUAUAUAUAUAUAGAACUGGCUGGAAUACUAUUAAUAACACCAAUGACUUGGGUGCUAUUAAGUUUUCUGUCCUUGGAUUAAAAAAGAGGUGCGCGUUUAAGAUGAUAUGGGCUCUUAGGAGAUGAGUGGACCGUGUUGGUGAAUAGUAUAUCGAAUGGAUUGAAAUGAUAAAAAGAAGUGUGAAUCUAACAAGUUUUCUGCCUUAGGAUGAAUAUGACUAUUUAUAUUAUAUAUAUAUAUAAUAAUAUAUAUAUAUAUUAUAUUAUUAUAUAUAUUAUAUAUAUAUAUUCGUGCUGGAUACUACGGAUAGCCACGAAGCAUUUGGUGCCACUAUAAUUUUCUGCCGUUAGAUUUACCUUUUUCGUCAAUUUUCAUCAUUUGAUUUACUAUUCCAACCAACAACCCACUCAACCCUAGGUGGGCUCACAGCAUCCUAACGCCACAUUUCUCAUCCAAGGAAAAAAUACGGUGGAAUACUAUUGAUAGCCAAGGGUCUGGUGCUAUUUAGUUUUAGUCCUUGGGAUUAAGAAAUCGCUGCGAGUCUAGGAGAAUGUGGCCUAGCGAUUGAGUGGUGGUUGGUGAAUAGUAUAAUCAACGGUCAUGAAUAUGAUAAAAAGGUAAAUCAACUGGCCAGAAACUAUAUAGCACCAAAUGUUUCGCUGCUAUCGAUAGUAUCUGCUGCGAGACUCUCUCUCUCUCUCUCUCCUCCUCUCUCGCUCUCUCUCGUCUCUCUGUCUAUAUAUAUAUAUGUAUAUAUUAUCUUAUUAUAUAGAGAGAGAGGAGAGAGAGAGAGAGAGCGAAGAUGAGAGAGAGAGAGAACUAGGACCUGGCAAUACUAUCAUAGCACUAGUAUGUGCUCAUUAGUUUUUAGCCCUUGGAUAUGAGAAUGUUCAGUUAGGAUGUUGGUCUUAGGUUGAUGGUGGUUCGUGAAUAGUAUAAUCUAACGGGUAAAAAUAUUAAAGAUUAAAUUCUAACGAAAUCAGAUAGCACCAAGAUAGUUACGGGAUCUCUCUCUCUUCUCUCUCUCUCUACUCUUAUUAAUUAUUAUAUAUAUUAUAACAGGGCUACUGUGUAUUGGAGAUAACAGUCGUUUGCUCCUAACUUCCAACCACCAUCAUUUUGUGGUAUUAGGAUAAAGAGCAGAGAGGAGAAAUUCCGGAGAAAAUUAAACAGAGAACGAGAAAUUGAUAACCUAAUUUCUCCUCAAAUUUCUUUUUCUCUAAUCAUACCUUUCAUCCAAAACUAAUUGAAUGGUUAGGAAAUUUAAGAGACAGAGUUAGCCCUCCUCUCUCUCUCUUCUCUUUCUCCUCUCUCUCUCUCUCCUCUUCUAUAAUAUAUAUAUAUAUAUCCUAUCAUUUAUUUCCGGGAUCAGGGUUCGGAGUCUGAAUAUUAACCUAAUUGCAUCCUCAAUUUCUCUUUCUCUCUCUCAUCCUAACUUUCAUCAAACUAAAUGGAAAUGGUUAGGAAAUAAGAGCAUAAGAGCUAUAGCCUGCUCUUCUCUCUCUUCUCUCUCUCUCUCUCUCUCUCUCUAUAUAAUAUAUAAUAUUAACUAUAUAUAUAUAAUAUCCUACUCAUUUAUUCGGAUUCUGCGGUUCGGAUCUGUAAUAAUUUAAGUUGACUAACUAUACAAAUCGGGAUCUAUUCGAAAGGGUCUCGUAGUGAUAAUCCAUAUGCUAUCCACGAAAUCCUGAAUAGAUGGGUACGAGUCGGACUAAUGGAUACGAGUACCUGUAUUAACAUAUUUUUUAUAGACUAUUAAACACUCUAUUUGGACAAAUCAUAAAUCUCUCAAUUAGAAAAAACUUUCAUUCUAAUGAGACUGCACUCUAUCAGACGGAUCAGAGAGGCAAAAUGAGAGUAGUUAAAGAUUUGAUUUUUUUUUUUCUCUUUUUUUUUUUUUAUAACUCUUACUCUCUUAAUUCAGCAAGUAAAACAGGGACCGGCUUAGAGAAUAAGAUGUCAAUAGUAAACUAGAGCGGCUUAGGAUUAAUAAAAAUAAGGAGUAAAAAAAAGUUUUAAAAAAAAAGCAGUAACAUAGCGACUAGGUUUGACUGGACAAAUACAUAGAGACCCAUCAUCUAUAAGUCAUAUUGAAAUUGAUUCCAAGCUUAAAAUCUUUUUAUUGCGGUCAUCUCUACAAUUCAGAUCAAGCAUCCAGUCUGAAUCCGUAUUGAAAAUUAUUUCUUAAGACCCUAUCAUUAAAAAUGUCGGCGGUUCGGGUCGGACCCAAUGUCAGUAAUAGUACCAAAAGUAUCCGAAUCUACAUCACAAAACUGUAAUGCUUUUGCUUUUUAUCGAAUUACUAUCUAUUUUUUGUUUGAUCGGAUAGAAAAAAGUCCGGACUUAAAUAUAGUAUAUCGGCAUUUGGCACGUUAGGAGAAUAACUUAUACAUUUUACCAAACUUGCACUAAUUUGACACUCACCCUUAAUAUGUGGUUUAUUAGGGCUCUGAAUGCUUGAACAUGUUCUAUCAAAAAAAAAAUGCAAAAGGAUGUAAUUAAAAAUGAAAUCACACAGUACUAACUUGAUACCACUUUAAACUAUAAGGUACUAUAAAGAUGAAAAGUGCAACCACAAGUACGUAAACUAACACUUUAAACCACAUGUAUUAAAGUGGAAAAAAAUUGCGAAACAGAUUUUUUGAAGUUUUCCCUAAAUUUCAAUCUACAACACGGUUGUGAUUCAUAUUAUUAAAAUAUAUUCAAAUAUAAAAAGAGAUGAUAUGGAACAAUCUAAGGAAAAUAACAUUUUUUUUCAAUCUAUUUAUAUAAAUAAAUUGAUAAAUCGAAACUUAAAUUUAUAUUUUUGAUAUCAAAUUUGACCUAUACAUUAAAAAAUUUUAAAAUACAUGCAUCAAAAAUUAAAUAUUAAAAAUUUGAAAUAAAUAUCAAAUUAAAUUUUAAAUUCAUCAAAAAUUAAUUAAAAUAUUUAAAAAUAUUAAUUAUAAAAAAAAAUAAUAUAAAAUUUGUCAAAUAUUUCUAAUACAAAUAUAACAUAUAACUUUAUAAAGGUAUAAUUUUUUAUUAUAAUUUUAAAUAAUAUACUGUACAAAAUUUAUAUGAUUUAAACUAAAAUUAAAAUAACUUGUUACAUGCAUUUGUAUAUUAAUCAAUUAGUGUGGCUGUAAACCUAGUCUAAAUACUAUCAAAUAGUACAAAGCUAUCGGAGCAAUUAUGGUAUUCGGCCUUGAAGAUAAAAAUCUACGUGUGAGGCUGAUGUCGGCUCACCUAGGGUCGGAUGUAGUUAUUAGUUUAAUAAUAUAAUCUAACGAUGAAAGAUAGUUAAAAAGCUUAAAUUCUACAAGCGAAAACUUGAUAGCACCAAAUAAUUGGCUAUAUCUGCUAUUGAUAGUAUUCCAGCCUAGCUCUAUAUAUAUAUAUAUAUAUAUAUAUAUAUAUAUAUAUAUAUAUAUAUAUAUAUAUAUAACGUGAUUGAAUUGUUUAAUCCGAUCUGCUUAUUUUGGUAUUUUGUGUUUAUAAUUGAUCAGAAUAUAUAGAAUUAGGCUACUAUACUAUCUAUAGUACCGGAGCUCCGGUACUAUAGUCUUGUUUUCGAUCUUAGCGUGUUCAAAUUAACGAUCCACACCGUUAAAUAUGAUCUAGGGUAUAUGAAGUUCUUAGGAAUAAAAUUUUAGUUUUUUUCGACAUCGUUUACUUAGUAAAUAAAUUAUGUCAAAAUGGACGGUGGAAAUUGAAUAUUCUUUAAAAUUUGAGCAUAGAACUUUUAAAUUCAAGAUCAAGAAUGUUAACCUUAAUCUAGAUAGUUUAAAGUAUUUUCUACCAAAAUUUGAAGAAAUUUAGAUUCUUCUACGCUAUUAAACUCCAAACUCGCCAUAGUUUUCAUUGAAAAUUGCCAAUUUUGAAAUGAUUUGAUCAUAAAGUAAACUAUGUCGAAAAAAUAUAAAAUUUUAUUUCUAAAAACUUUAAGUACCCUAGAUCAGUUUUAACGGUGUGGAUCAUUGAUUCGAACACCCGAACAUCGAAAAUGGGACUAUAGUACCGGAGCCCUGGUACUAUAGAUAGUAUAGGAGACUAGCUCUAUAUAUAUAUAUAUAUGUUUGGCGUUAUAUUUGAAUUUGUAUUUUAAAACUUUAGAUUUAAUAUAAUAUAUUUUGAAAUAUCGUAAAUAGAAAUAAUUGUUUCAGAAUUCGAAUUUUGGAUUUUUGGUCAGAUUCGGGUUAUGGAUUUUUGGCCAGGUUCGGAUUUGGAUAUGCAAUUUUAAAAUCUAUUAGGAUUGGAUGGAUUCAGGUUCUUGUUUCGGAUUUAAUAGUCGAGUUGCUAUUCGGAGUGUUAAAAAUUCGUACUAUUCGAUCCGUGGACAUCUCUAAUCCAUACUAUCCUAUCAUAUGUGCUUCUAAAUAUAGGGCGUAUUUGGUUUGCUUCUUUUUCACCCUGGAAUCGAAAUCGGAAUGGGUGAAUCCGUUUGUGGGUGUUCGGUACAUGAGAGUCCCAUUCCGAUUCCGAUUCCCGAGUGGAAUGGGAAUCUUCCAAUCACCUCAUUUUUCAAUCCGGCCUAGGAGGCCAGAUUGGAAGUUGAAUCUGGCCGGAAUGGAUAUUUAUUCGGAUUAAAUUUAUUUUUUCAACUUUUUUAAUUAAAAUAUGAGUUAAAAUUUAAAAAUUAAAUAUAUAAUUUUAAAUUUUAAUUUGAACUUAAAUUAAAAAUUAAAUUUUAAUCAAGUAUUUCGAAUCUAAUUUAUGAGUUUGAAUUUAAAUUAAAUUUUAAUUUAUAUAAAGUUGUAUUCAAAAUUUAUUUCAAACUUAAAUUAAAUUUAUGGAUUCAAAUUAAAAUUUAAAUUGUAAUUUUAAGUUUGAAUUUGAAUAAAUUAAAAUUUAGUUUCAUAUUUUGAAUUAUCNCAACCAUCAACCCUUGUACCGGUACAAGGCCAGUCUUGUUCCGGUACAAACCCUGCUGCAGGCUACCCGAGAGCUGUCCAAAAAUUCCGAUUUUGGAAUUUUGGUGCCAAGUCCCACUCCAACAUCCUCGGGAUGCGUGCCAGGGGUCGGGACACAAUCAACGACCCUCCAAAAACUGUGGGAAAGCUCCAAACACAGAUCAAACACUCGAAUCUUGCGAUUUGCUAAGAUCCAGUGUAUUACAGCAAUUGACAUGUAAAUGACAAAGUACACACUUGAGUAGUUUAAUGAAAAUCAACUUUUGCAUUUUAGUGGAAAUAUUACACAUUGGCAUACGGGUGAAGCCCGUUAGGUUCUUGAAUGAGUCAUCGAACCUUUCCCAAUAGAACAAAUAAAACAUGGACAUUAGUGUGUUGAGUCAUGUGACACAUUGGUAGAGACAUACCAUUAAUUUAAAUUAUUUUUGGAACUUGACAUACAUGACAUUAGAAGAUUACCCUUUUUGCAUAGGGCAUUAUGGUGGUAGUAACACACAUUGGUAGGUUCAUGAAUGAGACAUAGAACCACCCUUAAUAGAGUGAAUGAAUGAAAUGUGGACCUUCAUGUGCUUUGGACAUGUGCUAUAACAUAAAAAAACAAUAAUGUCAUAAAGAGGCAUUAGACUUAGUGAAUGGUUAAACUUGUACACUUUGACAUAGAACUAGACCUUUGGGGUUGCUAGUACUUAUACCAUGUUGAGACAUGACAACCGUGUACUUAAGAUGACGAUCAUGCUUGUUUGCCAUUUGUGCUCAUUCGCACAUGCUUGUGAGGGUCGCUCUCCACAAGCCGGCACUCCGGAGUUGGCCUAUGCGACAGAUGCUCGCCGUGCGGUAUUCGAUGCCUACUGGAUCGACGUGGGACAGGCUCAUUCCUUGCGGGGGGAAUGUUGGACUACCACAGGCCAUUAGGCACGGCGCAAGCCGGACUACAUUUGUGCAGGUCCUGAUGACUUGAACUAUGUUAACCAAGAGUUAAUUAAACCUGACAUUAUGUUAGACAUGCUAGUGGAUGCACACCUAGUAAAUGGUCAUACUAGUGGUUGGUUACCUUAUGUUGAGAUUCGAUGCAUUCAUAGUAGAGAGAUAUACGUCGAACAGACGCCGACCGGACAGAACCUCUCCUGUCGGCCCAAGGCUAAACAACACAGUCAUGUACAUCAAGUUGCCCAGGUAAACUAAAACAAUAUACACGAAGCACGACAAGCGCUAUACAAGCGAGAGCAAGAAUCACAAGUAGAUAUACAAGUGAACCAAAGAGAAACAUCUAGCUAUUACAAUUCCAUUCAACAUAUACAUCAAGUUUACAAUUUUACAUCUCCAAAAUUUAUACAUGUCAUCCAUAACUCUCCAAAAUACAUAUACAAUAUGAUCUCAUAUCUAUACAGGGUGUACUAAUGCAUAAAGGAAAGUUGUCUAGCUACUAGGGCGCUAUGCCCUUACUGCGGUCCUCGCCCGGUCCUCUCGUACUCGGCCCUGCAACAAAGUGGGGUGAGAACUAUAUUAAUAUAGUUCCCAAUGGGUUCGGCCGCCGACUCUGCCGAUCUUCCCACUAGGUCUAAGCAGGCAUAAGUAGACAGAUAGAUAGAUAUGAAAAUGAGCUGCUACAUAAUAACAAAACCUACAAUAUGCUACUAUGCCUCGACAAGCAGAAUGAAUACAUGAACAUAGAUAUGCGCUCUACUAACAUGAAAACUAUGUCUCAAUCUGCAUACUCUACAAGAUAUAAAGGAAAUAUCUACAUAGUAAUGAAACAUACUGUCAAAUACUAUGUCUCAUGUCCAAUCUCAUCUCGGCUAACCAAAAGGUUACGCCCAAACUCACAUCUCAAAUCUCGCUGGUGAGUAGACUCUACGCUACAAACACCCGAGACCGCCUGCUGGGUAAUCGUGUUACCCAAACGCGACAUCUACUCCGGAGCUCACUACUUGGGGUGGAGCGACCACGCCAAUGUUACAUAGACUAUGUGAGUACGAUCCAAUCCUCUCACUCGAGGAUAGUUAGUGCCUCUUGCACUAGUUCACAUGCUACUACUCAGGAGAUCAGUAUCUAUCCUAAGUUCAUGUAUCAAGCUGUAAGUGUUUCACUACACUAGUCCAAAUGUCAAUUUUUUUGGUUUACAUGCCACUACUUAGGAGAUCAUUCUCUAUCCUAAGUUCAUGUCAUAGUGUCUCUACUACGCUAGUCCAAAUGCCACUCUGUGAGUUCAUUUACAUGUCCAAGUUCAUCUUUUGUUCCGCGACACUAUAGGAUUCCAUGUCAAGACCCAAUCCUCAUGUGUCCACUAAAUCAAGUGCUCAACUCACCAAAUGAUUUCAACGAUGGAAACAUGCAAGGAAUUGAAGUACAAACAACCUAUAAUGCAUACUAACAAGAUAUGAACAUAUGCUAAAAUAAUGAAAUACUCGGUCAUAGAAAGAAGCCCGACUGCUUCGAGAUGGACAGCUCCCACCUUCGGGAUGGAAACUCCUAUGUUUAAAAGAUGUGGAAAGAGUUACAUCCAAAAGGAGUGUGAAAACUACCACCACAUGUAGGAAAGAGCUACCACCCCAGUCGUCCGGCAAGUGUGUGAAGCUACCACAUGAAGAUUGAAUUAAAUAACCGGAACGGUUGAAAAAAAAAUUGAAUAUUUUAGAAUUUUCGGAGUUAUAAGGUGUUAGUUUGAAAAAGAAGCUCACAGAGCCACCACCGGUAUCAUAAUAGUUAAAUCUCUAUUUUGAACGGAUUGCGACAAAUUGGUGUAAAUUUUGCCGAAUUUCUAAAAAUCAUUUUUCAUGAACCGUUACAUCUUGAUGAUUUUGAAACACGAGGUCAUUUUUUAUAACGAAAUUUUUGAUGUUUCGAUGUAUUUUUGAAAUCUUAUAAUAUUUUACCUCCAUUAUAAUGAUUUUUGGAGUAAAGUCCUUAAUUCGUAUGAAAUUAAUUUAAGUUUAAAAGGUUUUUAAAAUUAAAAAUUUUUGAAAUCUGGCAAAGUGUUUUGGUAGCCACAGUUUUAAAACCGGUUACAGGUUUUCGAUCUUUCUCCAAACUUUAUCAAAACUUCUCCUUUCUCUUUCUUAAAACCUGUUACAGGGCACGUUUGUUCACGACGAUAAAUAUGGAAAAUGAAAAAGAAAAGAAAAUAAAAGGGUUACAGUUCUUCAAUGUGCUCCUUUCUGGUUCUUUUGAAAGUCUAUGUGAAUUUAUCCUAUUCAUGCACUAACAUUAUUGGUACUCUCUCUAUUUUUGGUACUUGUUUUUGGCAAUUUUUGACAAAAAGGGGGAGAGAGAGAAGAGAUUUUAAAUUUUUUCUUGUGAAUUUUUAUUGAUCAUAUUAGAUGCAUGAACAGAGGGGGAGAGAUUUUUAUUAACAAAGGAUGCAUGAAUAGAGGGGGAGAGAUUUUCAUUAACAAAAGGGAAGAGAUGUUCAUUUUUUUUACUAACUUUGUUCGAGGAGAAAAUAUUCUUUGUAUUCUUUCUGCAGAUUCUCGAUGACUUCAAGACUCGUGUUUAAGUCAUAGAGUUUGUUUAGGAGUUACAAAUUGUAAUUUUGUUUUUUUUUUUUUUUUUUGGAUCUUUCCCGCGAGAAGUUCAUUGUUUUGGUGAUGGCAAUGAAUUUCAAUUUUUUAUUGUUUGGAGAGUUGAGCAUUGUGAGUGUUUUGAUGUAUUUUUGAGUUUUGUCACAAAAUUGCCAAAGGGGUAGAUUGUUACGGAUUUUAUGUUGGCAUAUUUCGUAAAGUUAAUCGGAGUCUUGAAUGUUUGAAGAAGAAGAGAUGAAGAUCGAAGAAUCGAAGACUCAAAACAUGAAUGCACAAUGCUCGGUAAGUUUAAAUACCAUUGAUGAUGAUUUAUAAAUGUUUAAAAGUGUUUAGAAGACUUAGAUUGUGUUUUUGUUGAUCAAACUGGACUUUUCUAAAAAUCUUAGGGCUCAGGGACCAGUCCUUGAUCAGAAGGACCGGACCCAUCAAGCUUCUCUGCGUAGAAGUUUUGGGAGACCGGUCUCUGGUCUUGAGGACCGGUUCCCGUAAGUGGUUUAUCUUGUUGCGCAGGGAGGGACCGGUCUCUGAAUUGAGGACCGGUCCCCAUACGCAUGUUCCUCAGCUAUGCAGCGAAGGACCGGUUUUCAACUUGGAGGACCGGUCCCUCAAGGACCGGUCUCCUCAGGAGGACCGGACCCUGGGGAUGACGUCAGUUUUUAAAAUUGAGUUUUUGCAAUCCCAGUCUGUUUCUAAGUCUUCUAAACCUAUAAAUAAGAUGUAGGGGUGUUUCUAAAAGAGUAUGAAGGCAUAGAAUAUUGUUUUGAAACCCUAGAAACUUGUUGGGUGCAUUCUUUCUUCUCUCAAACAACAAGUUUCUAUUGGAUCAAUUCUUGAAACCCUAAUUUCUUGUUCUUCAUGGAAAAUUGAUCCGGCUAUUGCUUAGAAACAUCUUCUAUGGUUCUUUAAUGAUUGUCUAAGCAAUAAAUCAUCAUCAAUCUUGGUAUUCUUGCUCCGAACGGAGUAUGCUCGUGGAUUCGAGUGGGCGUCGUGGAUUCAGCGUGAUCAAGGCUUCGUGGAUUCGAAGUAUGGACGCUUUGUGGAUUAUGGACGUGGCGUUCGUGGAUUCGGACGUGGGGCGUGGACAACCUGUUGGUGUGCGCGAGAUCCGGAAAAGAUAGAAGAGAGGUUUGAAACCGUGGAUUCAGUAAAUCACCUUGUUAUCUUUUAUUCUUAGUGGAUUGUUAUCGCGUGUUGGUCCCGUGGGUUUUUCUCCAAGUUGGAGUUUUCCCACGUAAAUCUCGGUGUAAUUUUUAUUUUUCGCAUUUAUUUUGAUCGCAUUGAGAUUUGUGGUUUUUGGCCGUUACACCUAUUCACCCCCCCCUCUAGGUGUUGGAUACAAUCUAGAUAGAUCCUUGGGCACCCCAAAACUUUCAGGGGCAGCUCUUCACCUAUAUGAUUUGAGAUCUUAGGCGGGUUAGCCUAGUGGAUUGGGUAAUGACAUGAAUAGCUUAGUGGAUUGGCAUUCAUACCAUGAUUGGACAUUGUAUAUGUUGAGUGUAUUUAAGGCCGAGGUGUAUGUAAGGGUUCCUUCACCUCGAGCCGGACAAAGUGCGGUAUCCCGCAGUUGAUUGACUCGAGGCAAAGUCGAGUGGCUAGCUUGGAUAAGGUAGAGGAAACCUUAAAGGCUAGUGAUAGAUGACUUGGAUCUAGGGUAAUAGAAACCUUAGAAAGUAGUUUGAUGUGAACUAGAUGAUGAGAUAGAAAGUAGUAUCGGGUGAUCUACUAGUUUUUGCAUUACUUGCAUGAUUGCAUGGCAUUGUUGCAUUUGUGAGGCAAAGCAUGGUAUUAUUAGCUGCAUAAUUUAGAUAUCGUAUCUAUUUGUUUAUUAAACUAACCAUGAUAUUGUUGCAUUACUUGUUGGUCGAGCUUUUCCCUUGGGUGGCCGUACCCACUGGGAACCAUGGAGUUGGUUCUCACCCCACGUUGCUUUGGGGUGUUACAGGUUCGCACGUGAGCGGCGCGGCGGCGCGAGGAAAGGGCGUAGCUCCGUAGAUAGCGCCCUAUCCCAGAGACCAGAGAUAGCAGUACCCCAUCGACAUAGCUUAGGGGUAUAGGAAAGGAAGAGAACACAAUUAUAUCAAGUUGUAUUAAAUGAUGUAAUAACUGAGAUUGCAUUUGGAUGAAAAAGAAUUGUAAUUGGGAUGUAAAAGUUGAAUUGUAAAAGCAUGUAUGUGAAUGCUUUGUUAAGGAUUUUCUAGGUUGGCGGAUUUCGUGAAGUCGAAUGGAGUCUUGAAGAGUUGAUCGCGGAAGGUUUGAAGAGAAGAUUCAAUUUGAAGAGCAAAGACUCAUUUGGAAAGCACGGCACCUCAGGUAUGAAGAAUAGAUCAUUUUUGGUGAUUUUAUCUAAUUACAAUAAGUUUAGAAGAUUUGGAUUGCAAUAGAAAACACAAACUAAGGUUUUCAAUGUGCUGGGACCGGUCCCCUGAGAUGAGAGACUGGUUCCCGAGAGUUCUCUCUCCGUGGAAGUCUAAUGCAACCGGUCUCCUGAUCUGAGGGACCGGUCUCCUGGUCGGUGCAACCGGUCUCUGGCAUGAGAGACCGGUUCCCGAACGUUGGGAUUUUUGACUCGCAGAGAGAGACCGGUCUCUGGCAUGAGAGACUGGUUCCCGAACGUUGUGUUUUCUGUCACGCAGCGAGGGACCGGUCUCCCAUCCAAGGCACCGGUCUCUGACAGACCGGUCUCCUCGAGAGGACCGGUCCCUGAGGACGACACCAGUUUUUAAAAUAGACUUUUUGCAAUCUUAGUCUACUUCUAAGUCUUCUAAACCUAUAAAUAAGCCAUGGGAGUCAUCAUAUGAGUUGAGGCUUUGAAUUUCUACUGUUCUAAAACCCUAGAAACUUGUUUUCACAUUCUUAUGAUUUUAUUCAUAUAAAAGUCUCAUCUAAUCAACGAUCGACUUGAUUCUUAAGUUUUAACUCGAGAUUUUCUUCGAGAAUCAAGUAGAUGUUUGUUUAGAAGGGGAACCCUCAUUGCUUAUGAGAUUUU